GAUGAAGAACGCAGCGAAAUGCGAUAAGUAGUGUGAAUUGCAGAAUUCAGUGAAUCAUCGAAUCUUUGAACGCACAUUGCGCCCAUUGGCAUUCCGAUGGGCAUGCCUGUUCGAGCGUCAUUAUCCUCCCUCAAACCUCGGGUUUGGUGUUGGACCCAAGUUGUGCGAUGAACAACUGGUCUUAAAGACAAUGACGGCGUCCGUGGGACCCUCGAUGCAACGAGCUUUAAGGAGCACGCGUCGAGUUUUAAAAUGACCCUCCGGGCCGAUCUACCUCUCUUUCUCAGGUUGACCUCGGAUCAGGUAGGAAUACCCGCUGAACUUAAGCAUAUCAAUAAGCGGAGGA
RNAcentral lists this unclassified non-coding RNA (346 nucleotides) under soil metagenome. RNAcentral's name for it is "partial contains 5.8S ribosomal RNA, internal transcribed spacer 2, and large subunit ribosomal RNA". The stretch from base 1 to 120 matches the Rfam family "5.8S ribosomal RNA", at positions 35 to 154 of the family's 154-position model. The record is from RNAcentral.